Molecule: non-coding RNA, 77 nt
Organism: Potamilus streckersoni
Lineage: Eukaryota; Metazoa; Mollusca; Bivalvia; Unionida; Unionidae
Source: the annotation of a GenBank genome assembly
AACCUCUCCGGUGGCUUAGUGGUUAGAGCGUCUCCCUCGGAUGCGGGAGGUCGUGGGUUCGAUCCCCGGUCGAGUCA